GACGAACGCUGGCGGCGUGCCUAAUACAUGCAAGUAGGACGCAGUUGCGAACGGGUGCGUAACGCGUAGGUAACUGCCUAUUAGAGGGGGAUAACUAUUGGAAACGAUAGCUAAUACCGCAUACUAGUAGAUGGACCUGCGUUGUAUUAGCUAGUAGGUAGGGUAAUGGCCUACCUAGGCGACGAUACAUAGCCGACGUGAGAGGGGGAUCGGCCACACUUGUACUGAGACACGGCCCAGACUCCUACGGUAGGCAGCAGUAGGGAAUCUUCGGCAAGGGGGGGAAUCCUGACCGAACAACGCCGCGUGAGUGGAGAAGGUGUUCGGAUCUUAAAGCUCUGUUGUUAAGGAAGCGGUACUUAACCAGAAAGGGACGGCUAACUACGUGCCAGCAGCCGCGGUAAUAC
This 407-nucleotide ribosomal RNA is filed under the name uncultured bacterium. RNAcentral describes it as "partial 16S ribosomal RNA". It matches the Rfam family "Bacterial small subunit ribosomal RNA", at positions 28 to 526 of the family's 1533-position model. The record is from RNAcentral.